RNAcentral lists this ribosomal RNA (461 nucleotides) under uncultured bacterium. Its description in RNAcentral is "partial 16S ribosomal RNA". It matches the Rfam family "Bacterial small subunit ribosomal RNA", at positions 28 to 507 of the family's 1533-position model. The record is from RNAcentral.
GACGAACGCUGGCGGCGUGCUUAACACAUGCAAGUCGAACGGUGAACCUCUUCGGAGGGGAUCAGUGGCGAACGGGAGUAACACGUGGGCAACCUGCCCCCGGCUCUGGGAUAACUCCAAGAAAUUGGGGCUAAUACCGGAUGUUCACCGCUUCCCGCAUGGGUGGUGGUGGAAAGGGUUUCCGGCUGGGGAUGGGCCCGCGGCCUAUCAGCUUGUUGGUGGGGUAGUGGCCUACCAAGGCGACGACGGGUAGCCGGCCUGAGAGGGUGACCGGCCACACUGGGACUGAGACACGGCCCAGACUCCUACGGGAGGCAGCAGUGGGGAAUAUUGCGCAAUGGGCGGAAGCCUGACGCAGCGACGCCGCGUGGGGGAUGACGGCCUUCGGGUUGUAAACCUCUUUCAGCAGGGACGAAGCGCAAGUGACGGUACCUGCAGAAGAAGCACCGGCCAACUACGUG